RNAcentral lists this ribosomal RNA (496 nucleotides) under uncultured bacterium. Its description in RNAcentral is "partial 16S ribosomal RNA". It matches the Rfam family "Bacterial small subunit ribosomal RNA", at positions 30 to 523 of the family's 1533-position model. The record is from RNAcentral.
AUUGAACGCUGGCGGAAUGCUUUACACAUGCAAGUCGAACGGUAGAGGGGGCAACCCCUCGAGAGUGGCGAACGGGUGAGUAAUAUAUCGGAACGUGCCCAGUCGUGGGGGAUAACGUAGCGAAAGUUACGCUAAUACCGCAUACGAUCUAAGGAUGAAAGCGGGGGAUCGCAAGACCUCGCGCGAUUGGAGCGGCCGAUAUCAGAUUAGGUAGUUGGUGGGGUAAAGGAUCACCAAGCCAACGAUCUGUAGCUGGUCUGAGAGGACGACCAGCCACCCUGGAACUGAGACACGGUCCAGACUCCUACGGGAGGCAGCAGUGGGGAAUUUUGGAGAAUGGACGCAAGUCUGAUCCAGCCAUUCCGCGUGCAGGAUGAAGGCCCUCGGGUUGUAAACUGCUUUUGUACGGAACAAAAAGGUCUCUCUUAAUACGGGGGGCUCAUGACGGUACCGUAAGAAUAAGCACCGGCUAACUACGUGCCAGCAGCCGCCGUAA